GGGGUACUUGACUUGCUUAUUGCACCACAUGUGUUUUUCUUUGAAACAAACUUGCUUUGGCGGUGGGCCCAGCCUGCCGCCAGAGGUCUAAACUUACAACCAAUUUUUUAUCAACUUGUCACACCAGAUUAUUACUAAUAGUCAAAACUUUCAACAACGGAUCUCUUGGUUCUCGCAUCGAUGAAGAACGCAGCGAAAUGCGAUACGUAAUAUGAAUUGCAGAUAUUCGUGAAUCAUCGAAUCUUUGAACGCACAUUGCGCCCUCUGGUAUUCCGGAGGGCAUGCCUGUUUGAGCGUCGUUUCUCCCUCAAACCGCUGGGUUUGGUGUUGAGCAAUACGACUUGGGUUUGCUUGAAAGACGGUAGUGGUAAGGCGGGAUCGCUUUGACAAUGGCUUAGGUCUAACCAAAAACAUUGCUUGCGGCGGUAACGUCCACCACGUAUAUCUUCAAACUUUGACCUCAAAUCAGGUAGGACUACCCGCUGAACUUAAGCAUAUCAAUAAGGCGGAGGAA
This 514-nucleotide ribosomal RNA is filed under the name Candida albicans. RNAcentral's name for it is "eukaryotic LSU rRNA". The stretch from base 146 to 299 matches the Rfam family "5.8S ribosomal RNA". The record is from RNAcentral. Lineage: Eukaryota; Fungi; Ascomycota; Pichiomycetes; Serinales; Debaryomycetaceae.